This 253-nucleotide ribosomal RNA is filed under the name uncultured bacterium. Its description in RNAcentral is "partial 16S ribosomal RNA". It matches the Rfam family "Bacterial small subunit ribosomal RNA", at positions 524 to 776 of the family's 1533-position model. The record is from RNAcentral.
UACGUAGGGUGCAAGCGUUGUCCGGAAUUAUUGGGCGUAAAGAGCUCGUAGGCGGUCUGUCACGUCGGCUGUGAAAACCCGAGGCUCAACCUCGGGCCUGCAGUCGAUACGGGCAAACUCGAGUACUGCAGGGGAGACUGGAAUUCCUGGUGUAGCGGUGAAAUGCGCAGAUAUCAGGAGGAACACCGGUGGCGAAGGCGGGUCUCUGGGCAGUAACUGACGCUGAGGAGCGAAAGCGUGGGGAGCGAACAGG